Molecule: long non-coding RNA, 231 nt
Organism: Alosa alosa (allis shad)
Lineage: Eukaryota; Metazoa; Chordata; Actinopteri; Clupeiformes; Clupeidae
Exons: 3
Source: RefSeq, a predicted model, not a curated record
CAGAAAGAUGCCUAAGUCUUGUUGCAAAAAUUGCGGGGUGAAUAUGCCUAUCCAGCUGCUGGUGAGCCACAUUGGUGCAUGCAGCCAGCAGUUAUGUUGCCAGGAAUCAGCCUCUGACCAGGAGGAAAUGGACUUACCUGAUGUCUAUAUAGAGGAACAGGCAAAGUGUACCUGUCCAGUUUGUGGUGGGGAGUUUCCAGUAGAGCUGUUGCCCUAUCACGGAAGUUCAUG